This 492-nucleotide ribosomal RNA is filed under the name uncultured bacterium. RNAcentral's name for it is "bacterial SSU rRNA". It matches the Rfam family "Bacterial small subunit ribosomal RNA", at positions 26 to 507 of the family's 1533-position model. The record is from RNAcentral.
AGAGUGAACGCUGGCGGCAGGCCUAAUACAUGCAAGUCGAACGGCAGCACAGCAGAGCUUGCUCUGUGGGUGGCGAGUGGCGGACGGGUGAGGAAUACGUGGGAAUCUGCCCAGUCGUGGGGGAUAACGUAGGGAAACUUACGCUAAUACCGCAUGCGCCCUUCGGGGGAAAGCCGGGGACCUUCGGGCCUGGCGCGAUUGGAUGAGCCCACGUCGGAUUAGCUAGUUGGCGGGGUAAAGGCCCACCAAGGCGACGAUCCGUAGCUGGUCUGAGAGGAUGAUCAGCCACACUGGAACUGAGACACGGUCCAGACUCCUACGGGAGGCAGCAGUAGGGAAUAUUGGACAAUGGGCGCAAGCCUGAUCCAGCCAUGCCGCGUGAGUGAAGAAGGCCCUCGGGUUGUAAAGCUCUUUUGUCCGGAAAGAAAAGCGCCGGGUUAAUACCCUGGUGUCCUGACGGUACCGGAAGAAUAAGCACCGGCUAACUUCGUG